AGAAGAAAUCUGCAGCCGCAGCGGGCGAGAAGACGACGUACUGGCGGAGCCCCUCGCUC
RNAcentral lists this small RNA (59 nucleotides) under Sinorhizobium meliloti 2011. RNAcentral's name for it is "putative ncRNA". Lineage: Bacteria; Pseudomonadati; Pseudomonadota; Alphaproteobacteria; Hyphomicrobiales; Rhizobiaceae. The record is from RNAcentral.